RNAcentral lists this ribosomal RNA (951 nucleotides) under uncultured Granulicatella sp. RNAcentral describes it as "bacterial SSU rRNA". The stretch from base 1 to 810 matches the Rfam family "Bacterial small subunit ribosomal RNA". Lineage: Bacteria; Bacillati; Bacillota; Bacilli; Lactobacillales; Carnobacteriaceae. The record is from RNAcentral.
GAUGAACGCUGACAGAAUGCUUAACACAUGCAAGUCAACUUGAAUUUGGGUUUUUAACUUAGAUUUGGGUGGCGGACGGGUGAGUAACGCGUAAAGAACUUGCCUCACAGCUAGGGACAACAUUUAGAAAUGAAUGCUAAUACCUGAUAUUAUGAUUUUAAGGCAUCUUAGAAUUAUGAAAGCUAUAAGCACUGUGAGAGAGCUUUGUGUCCCAUUAGCUAGUUGGAGAGGUAACAGCUCACCAAGGCGAUGAUGGGUAGCCGGCCUGAGAGGGUGAACGGCCACAAGGGGACUGAGACACGGCCCUUACUCUUACGCGAGACAGCAGUGGGGAAUAUUGGACAAUGGACCGAGAGACUGAUCCAGCAAUUCUGUGUGCACGAUGAAGAUUUUCGGAGUGUAAAGUGCUUUCAGUUGGGAAGAGAGAGAUGACGGUACCAACAGAAGAGGAGACACCUAAAUACGUGCCAGCAGCCGCGGUAAUACGUAUGUCACGAGCGUUAUCUGGAUAUAUAGUGCGUAAAGCGCGUCUAGAUGGUUAUAUAAGACUGAAUGAAAAUACGCGGCUCUACUCUGUAUUUCGUUGUGCACUGUGUAACUAGAGUACUGUAGAGAGAAGCGCAACUACAAGUGUAGAGGUGAAAUUUUGUAGAUAUUUGUGUGGAUACGGAGAGGGAGCCACAUUACUUUACAGAAAUUGAUGCUCAAGCGCGGAAGAGAGGGUGCAAAAGGUUUGAUAUCCUUUUAGUGCAAGUGUGUCAUUCGCAACGAGGAUUGGCACGGAGAGCGGUAGGUCGGAGCGCCCUCUCUCGGUGGAGUCGAUUUGUCUCUGCGUGUGCUCUCGCCUCGCCUCUACAGUAUAUAUAGCAAUCACUUGAGUUCGUGUGUGUGUUUUUUCUUGUUGAGUGGAGGAGAAAGAGUAAUAAGAUUUAUAAUUAAUAUUUAUUCUAC